AAAGUCGUAACAAGGUCUCCGUUGGUGAACCAGCGGAGGGAUCAUUACCGAGUUUUCAACUCCCAAACCCACUGUGAACAUAUACCAUUGUUUAUUCGUUGCCUCGGCGGGUUCUAUCCCUGGAAACAGGGCAAGCCCCCGCCGGGUGACACCAAAACCCUGAAUGUGUUUAGUUACACAGCAGUAUUACUCUGAGUCACAUCAUUUUAAAUGAAUCAAAACUUUCAACAACGGAUCUCUUGGUUCUG
This 248-nucleotide unclassified non-coding RNA is filed under the name Ascomycota sp. RNAcentral's name for it is "partial contains small subunit ribosomal RNA, internal transcribed spacer 1, and 5.8S ribosomal RNA". The stretch from base 1 to 47 matches the Rfam family "Eukaryotic small subunit ribosomal RNA", at positions 1785 to 1831 of the family's 1831-position model. The record is from RNAcentral. Lineage: Eukaryota; Fungi; Ascomycota.